This 774-nucleotide ribosomal RNA is filed under the name uncultured fungus. RNAcentral's name for it is "eukaryotic LSU rRNA". It matches the Rfam family "Eukaryotic large subunit ribosomal RNA", at positions 30 to 821 of the family's 3401-position model. Lineage: Eukaryota; Fungi. The record is from RNAcentral.
GAACUUAAGCAUAUCAAUAAGCGGAGGAAAAGAAACCAACAGGGAUUGCCUCAGUAACGGCGAGUGAAGCGGCAACAGCUCAAAUUUGAAAUCUGGCUCUUUCAGGGUCCGAGUUGUAAUUUGUAGAAGAUGCUUUGGGUGUAGCUCCGGUCUAAGUUCCUUGGAACAGGACGUCAUAGAGGGUGAGAAUCCCGUAUGUGACUGGGUGCUUUCGCUCGUGUAAAGCUCUUUCGACGAGUCGAGUUGUUUGGGAAUGCAGCUCAAAAUGGGUGGUAAAUUUCAUCUAAAGCUAAAUAUUGGCCAGAGACCGAUAGCGCACAAGUAGAGUGAUCGAAAGAUGAAAAGCACUUUGGAAAGAGAGUUAAACAGUACGUGAAAUUGUUGAAAGGGAAGCGCUUGCAACCAGACUUGCGCGCUGUUGAUCAUCCGAGCUUUUGCCCGGUGCACUCGGCAGCGUUCAGGCCAGCAUCGGUUUUGGUGGGCGGAUAAAGGCCUUGGGAAUGUAGCUUCUUUCGGGGAGUGUUAUAGCCCUCGGUGCAAUGCGCCCUACCGGGACCGAGGACCGCGCUUCGGCUAGGAUGCUGGCGUAAUGGUUGUAAGCGACCCGUCUUGAAACACGGACCAAGGAGUCUAACAUCUAUGCGAGUGUUUGGGUGUCAAACCCAUACGCGUAAUGAAAGUGAACGGAGGUGAGAACCCUUAAGGGUGCAUCAUCGACCGAUCCCGAUGUCUUCGGAUGGAUUUGAGUAAGAGCAUAGCUGUUGGGACCCGAAA